AGUGAACGCUGGCGGUAGGCCUAACACAUGCAAGUCGAACGGCAGCACAGUAAGAGCUUGCUCUUACGGGUGGCGAGUGGCGGACGGGUGAGGAAUACAUCGGAAUCUACUUUUUCGUGGGGGAUAACGUAGGGAAACUUACGCUAAUACCGCAUACGACCUACGGGUGAAAGCAGGGGAUCUUCGGACCUUGCGCGAUUGAAUGAGCCGAUGUCUGAUUAGCUAGUUGGCGGGGUAAAGGCCCACCAAGGCGACGAUCCGUAGCUGGUCUGAGAGGAUGAUCAGCCACACUGGAACUGAGACACGGUCCAGACUCCUACGGGAGGCAGCAGUGGGGAAUAUUGGACAAUGGGCGCAAGCCUGAUCCAGCCAUACCGCGUGGGUGAAGAAGGCCUUCGGGUUGUAAAGCCCUUUUGUUGGGAAAGAAAAGCAGCAGGUUAAUACCCCGCUGUUCUGACGGUACCCAAAGAAUAAGCACCGGCUAACUUCGU
Molecule: ribosomal RNA, 491 nt
Filed under: uncultured bacterium
Lineage: Bacteria
Description: partial 16S ribosomal RNA
Rfam family: Bacterial small subunit ribosomal RNA
Source: RNAcentral